UACAUCGGAACGUACCUCGUAGUGGGGAGUAACUCGGCGAAAGCCGUGCUAAUACCGCAUAUGCUCUACGGAGGAAAGCAGGGGACCUGCAAGGGCCUUGUGCUAUGGGAGCGGCCGAUGUCCGAUUAGCUUGUUGGUGGGGUAAUGGCCUACCAAGGCGACGAUCGGUAGCUGGUCUGAGAGGAUGAUCAGCCACACUGGGACUGAGACACGGCCCAG
This 219-nucleotide ribosomal RNA is filed under the name uncultured bacterium. Its description in RNAcentral is "partial 16S ribosomal RNA". It matches the Rfam family "Bacterial small subunit ribosomal RNA", at positions 114 to 334 of the family's 1533-position model. The record is from RNAcentral.